UCAUUUAGCGACAUAUCUUUCCUGGGAAUUUUGUAUGUAGUUUCUGUCUGCAGCUCUGGCGACCAUGGCUGGAAUCUGGCACAAACACCGGCGCGCCAGGGUGGGAAUGUUCUCUUCCGGUGUCCUUUCCCUUUCCAUGUUAAUCACUCGGCGGUAACUGCUUACUGGUGGAGAGACGGGAACAAGAGCUUCCUGCAAGCAAACGGCAGGAAAAGGUUCACUGUGAGGAGAGGCGGCGCGUACCUUCAUGUUCUGAAUGUGACUGUUGCGGAUGCCGGUGUGUAUCACUGUGCCGUCAAAUAUCAGCAUCGAACAGUUGGGAAAGGAACCGAGAUGCAAAUCCUCGUGUCUGAUUGUCUCCACAUCAUUCCACAAGGCUUCAUCUACCUUUAUGAGACUCCACUGUCAAACGGCUGAGUUUCAUCCGAAGGAAUUCAACCUUACCUGGCAUAAAAAUGGCACCAGAAUUCUGACAGGAAUUUCAACUUACAACAGGAAACAACAGACAGACUGUGUGAAGUGAUCAGUUCCUUAGAAGAGACACGGCCAAUUGAGCAAGGUGAUUCAGUGCUGAUGAGGGCAAGGCACCAAGGAUAUAGAGCUAAAAAUGUGUUGCUGGGAAAGCGCAGCAGGUCAGGCAGCAUCCAAGG
Chiloscyllium plagiosum (whitespotted bambooshark) is the source of this 650-nucleotide non-coding RNA. Lineage: Eukaryota; Metazoa; Chordata; Chondrichthyes; Orectolobiformes; Hemiscylliidae. The record is from RefSeq and is a predicted model, not a curated record.